RNAcentral lists this ribosomal RNA (582 nucleotides) under Triticum aestivum (bread wheat). RNAcentral's name for it is "partial small subunit ribosomal RNA". Lineage: Eukaryota; Viridiplantae; Streptophyta; Magnoliopsida; Poales; Poaceae. The record is from RNAcentral.
AUGUCCAUUGUCGGUCUUCCUAAUUCUGUUGUCUUGCCUAUAGUUGCUGCGGCCCCUCUCUUUGCUGGUGCAUUGGCUGCUGUGCUAGAUAUUUCGUCUUUGGGCUCUUCUUGCUUGGUGGAUAUUCAUAUGUACGGAGAUGCUGGCUGCCCAUCUAUUUUGCAAAGGACAAUUUCUUCCAGUUCUAAUGUGCGCACGAGUGGGGGGCGUCAGGGUUCGUUGUCAGCUAGCUGUCUGAAUCUUCGUGCUUCGGAUUUGUCUCAUGAUCUGCUGCACGUACGACACGUACGACAAGGGGACAACAGAAUUCUACUGAAUUGUGGCGGCGCCAUCGAGAGAUUCAUGAAUGAAAUGUCCUGUGUUGGGUUCUUCAGAUUAUGCCUGAACCAGCAGGAGCCUCCGAAGCAGCAAGAGAGUAAUGGAUGGGGAAACUGGCAGAUCCGUUUGUGUGGACGACAGCUCGAUGGUGGCAACUCGGCUAGGUUUGCCGUGAGAAGGCCAGACUACGCGAGAGAUUUGGCGUGUGUAGUUUAUGUUGUUGGUAAUUACGGUGGAGUGUGGUUAGAUUAUCAGCUUUUUUAG